UUCCGUGAUCGUCCUCUCUAUGUCUCAGAGUCUGGCCUGCAUAGCGGGGCUCUGGGGGCGGAGCUUGAUUUGCUACGUAGGAAGUCUCACUGUAUCUGAGUCUGCUGUUUGAGUCUGAUUACUCAAGUAAUCGAUGGAAUAUUCGGUAGAAUACUAGAUUACUAAAAUAUUCAAUAGCUGCAGACCUCAAAAAAACAUAAUCUUAUUUUCAGAGAAUCCACCAAACUGUGCUGCAGAUAAGAUUGUGUCACUGUGCGCAGGUGUUGUCUGCAUAGAUUCAGCUGUAAUAAUGAAGCUUUUAUCACAUCGUUCACAAAUGGUAUAAGAGUUUUCUCGUCAUCCAGCUCAUCAUCUUUUUGUGGACAGAUUCAAUCUAUAUGAAGAUAAAAGGGCACAACACAGCUUACCACAGCAAAAGAUAAAGAUGCUGACAGCUCAUUUACACAAUUAGACGCAACACAAGAACAAACUGCAAUUAACUGCAUUAAAAGUUUUGUAUUACUGACAUUUUUGCACCUGAAUAUUCAACAUGUUGUUUGAAUAUGAACUUUGGAUAAGAAGGAGAAAGGUUUGCACUAUUCAAUCCAUCUUUUUAUGAAAAUUCUCUCUCACUGUGCGGAUUUUUUCCCAUUUGUUCUGAUUUUUAACAAACAAAUCAAUCAAUCAGGAGACGUCUGAAUAGAAACAGAGGUAGGGGUCAAAAAUGUUUUGUUCAGGGUAAUAAUUACUUUGCUCAAGCACCAUAACGGUCCACAAAGAAAACAAAAAUCUGUCUCAGGCGUCACCUCGACUUAAAUCCUUCUUCUUAUUUGAAUCUGCAGAUUUCACCUACACUCAAGGGUAAAAAAUUGCGACCUCAAACAACUCUUGCGACAAAGAUGAUUGAGUAAUUAAAAGAAGAUUAAUCACCAUACCUGCUCUUUAAUCAUGAAUUCACUGUCAGUAUGAUGUAUGAGUAGUGUAAUGGGAUUAGGUAGGUUGCUAUAGAGAGUUUCAAUAAACCCACACAUUAAGAUAUACUGUGCUAUAAAAGUUAGAGAAACGCAGGGCAAAAAGUACAAGAAGAAAUUAAAGGAAGGAGGAAACGCAGAGGGCUCUAAACACUGCAGACCUGUGCUGAGUGAAACUGACCUAAAGAGUACCAUUAAGAUCUCCUUCAGUGUGAAAACCGAGCAAACCUCAGAUUUCAAUUCAAGAGGCUCUCAUGAGGUUCGAGAAGGUGAGAUUCAAUAGAGGGCAUUUUAUUUUGACUGUAAGAAAAGACUCAGCGUGCUGCUGUCAAUCAAUCCUGAGCUAAAUUAACCUCUUCAGAAUUUUCCCAUUAACAUGUUGCAUGAAUGCCCUGAUCAGAACAGAUGUAAUAAUGACACGGUGCACAACAGCCAAACGACUGAGGCAAGAACAAAGAGAGUCACAUUUUACCGCUCGGCUGUGCUUUCAAGCUCUCACAGCUACAUUUACGAAACAAGCGGAGACACUGAUCCAGAAAUGUAACCUGCUCAUGCCAGAGUAUGACAGCAUUUUCCAUGUUAGAUACACUAUGAUCUCUGCAUGCUCGUACUUUUUAUCUUUAAUCUAGAAAGACACAGAAGACAAAGAGAAGUGAUAACGCAACACUAUGAAGUAAAACAGACUGUGAAUCAGGGGUGUGCCCAGAAGGGUGGCAAGAGGUGGCACUGCCCCUCUGCAGAAUCUGGCUGGCCAAUUCAUAUGCCACCCGAGCAUCCUGACAAAUAAUUGGCUGUUGUCAGAGAUGAAAUUUAUAGUAAAAUUAACUAUUUGGAUUGUUUUGCAACAGGCUACAAUUAACCUACAUAUGACAGUUCACAAUAUGUUCCCUUAAAGCUCCUGUGAGACUUUUGUAGCCUGUGAUAAAUCAAACUUAAAUAAUUAAUCAUGCUUUUAUAUGACCAUCAAACAUGAACUAGACCAUCAGGGAAAAGUUUCAGUACUUUUUCAUUGCUUUUUUUAUGCGAGUUAGUUCUGUCGCGGGAUAGGUGUAAAAUGUACAGCGCCAAAAUAAACUUUGUUUACAGUGUCCACAGCAAAGACAGUCAUAGACAGCAAGAUAGAUACUUUUAGGCACUGCUUUGUUGUGUCUAAAGGGGGCGCUAAACACCAUUCAAAGCCAAAGUUCCUCACAGUAGCUUUAAGUAGGCUUCUAUGAAUAGUAACGGUAGACAAACAUCUUUGAGUGGAGUCAUUAAAGAAUUACCCUUAGGAUUUGUUUGGUACAUUUGUUUCUGCACAUGUUGUGAUACUUUUUAAAGUUGGAAAUAAUACACAAGAGUACAUAAUGGUCAGGAUAUUAUAAAUGUGACCAAUAAAAGCAGAUGUGAUUGGUAGAGACACACAGAGUAGAUUAAUGUUGUUUACUUCUUUCUUUGAGUUCACACAUUGUUCCAUGACUGCAUGAAUUAAUACCCCAUUUGGGCCACCCCCGUCAAAUGAGUCUUGAGACACCCCUGCUGUGUUAUUAUUUAAGUAUGUAAGCUAAAAUAAGCCUGACGGAUGAAUUUAAGAUCAUUCAGCUAAAAUCUGUAAUUACUAGUACAAUAACUUGAACAUCCCCAAACUGGUGCCAGACAGACUCUCAUUAGAAUACAAGUGUUUGGCAAGUUCUUUUCAGCGUUGGCUCUAUCUCUCUCUAUUUGUCUCUUCCUGAAUAAUGAAACUUAUCAUGGGAGUUCAGAUCUAGACUUAACCAAUUUUUCAAGCCACAAAGCCUGAUAUUUUUUAGUCAAUGUGAAGCUGCUCUACAUACCAGCCACUGUAAAAUAAAGAAAUAAAUGAAACUGUUAACGUCUUUGUUGAUGUGAAUAUCCAACUUCACUUAUGUCUUAUGCAUUUCAUAGCAAAAACUCAGACACAAAAUUCAAUCAAUCAAUCAAUCAAUAAAUAAAAAGUAUCAACAGGAAAAUAAGGUGGUAUUAUGAAAGGCACGGAUGUCUCCUUUCAUUGCAAGGACAAAUGAUGCAAAACUCAGGAUGCAGUUUGGGAGAAGUUUACUUGUAACUUACCCA
This 3023-nucleotide long non-coding RNA is filed under the name Xyrichtys novacula (pearly razorfish). Lineage: Eukaryota; Metazoa; Chordata; Actinopteri; Labriformes; Labridae. The record is from RNAcentral.